RNAcentral lists this ribosomal RNA (301 nucleotides) under uncultured bacterium. RNAcentral's name for it is "partial 16S ribosomal RNA". It matches the Rfam family "Bacterial small subunit ribosomal RNA", at positions 512 to 810 of the family's 1533-position model. The record is from RNAcentral.
CCGCCACGGUAAUACGAAGGGUGCAAGCGUUACUCGGAAUUACUGGGCGUAAAGCGUGCGUAGGUGGUUGUUUAAGUCUGCUGUGAAAGCCCUGGGCUCAACCUGGGAAUUGCAGUGGAUACUGGGCAACUAGAGUAAGGUAGAGGAUAGUGGAAUUUCCGGUGUAGCAGUGAAAUGCGUAGAGAUCGGAAGGAACAUCUGUGGCGAAGGCGACUAUCUGGGCCAUUACUGACACUGAGGCACGAAAGCGUGGGGAGCAAACAGGAUUAGAUACCCCAGUAGUCCCUGUCUCUUAUACACA